Molecule: non-coding RNA, 512 nt
Organism: Triticum urartu
Lineage: Eukaryota; Viridiplantae; Streptophyta; Magnoliopsida; Poales; Poaceae
Source: RefSeq, a predicted model, not a curated record
UCUGCGUGUCGUGCAGAUAGACAUCACAUCCCUCCCCUCCCAUGUACAGCAUCCACAUCUCGACAGAGCCAACUCUCCUCCCGGGCCCGUCCUUCCUCAAUACCAUGACACUGCUGUCUAUCUGCACGACUUCAUCGAGGUUAGGUAUCCUCACGGGCAUGUUCCUGAGUUGUGGAGUGAUACUGGCCGGGAGGUAUCCCAAAUCAACAGCAACUGAUGAUUAAUUACUCAAAAGAGAGUCGAUAAAAUUUGAGCCAUCAUUCUGCUUCACGAUGAUUCAUGGCCGAUGAUGAAUGGCGUCACUACAGAUUGGGGGAUUCACACGUGGAUAUCAUUGAAGCUAAUAGAUUGAUAUUGAUUUAUUUCUGAUGGCGUCUUAGUCACUUUAUGCAAAUAUUUUUAGGUUGGUGUGUGGUGAGAGUAUCACUACUACAUUAAUUUUUCUAUAAUGUCACAUCAUGUUGUAAGCUGAAAGUGCAUAUAAUUUAUCACUUCGUGUUCUGUUUGUUUUC